AGUGAACGCUGGCGGUAGGCCUAACACAUGCAAGUCGAACGGCAGCACAGUAAGCGCUUGCCCUUACGGGUGGCGAGUGGCGGACGGGUGAGGAAUACAGCGGAAUCUACUUUUUCGUGGGGGAUAACGUAGGGAAACUUACGCUAAUACCGCAUACGACCUACGGGUGAAAGCAGUGGAUCUUCGGACCUUGCGCGAUUGAAUGAGCCGAUGUCGGAUUAGCUAGUUGGCGGGGUACAGGGCCACCAAGGCGACGCUCCGUAGCUGGUCUGAGCGGAAGAUAAGCCACACUGGAACUGAGACACGGUCCAGACUCCUACGGGAGGCAGCAGUGGGGAAUAUUGGACAAUGGGCGCAAGCCUGAUCCAGCCAUACCGCGUGGGUGAAGAAGGCCUUCGGGUUGUAAAGCCCUUUUGUUGGGAAAGAAAAGCAGCAGGUUAAGACCCCGCUGUUCUGACGGUACCCAAAGAAUAAGCACCGGCUAACUUCGUG
Molecule: ribosomal RNA, 492 nt
Filed under: uncultured bacterium
Lineage: Bacteria
Description: partial 16S ribosomal RNA
Rfam family: Bacterial small subunit ribosomal RNA
Source: RNAcentral